This 537-nucleotide long non-coding RNA is filed under the name Capra hircus (goat). Its description in RNAcentral is "lncRNA (ENSCHIG00000001746.1)". Lineage: Eukaryota; Metazoa; Chordata; Mammalia; Artiodactyla; Bovidae. The record is from RNAcentral.
GCCUUUGAUUUGCAGGCAGGGCAGUGUGGUUUAGAAAGGAGCAGUGACUUGUCUGGGAAGGUUGUGAUUGUGAAGAAGGAGGAAGUUGAUGGAGAAACAGAUCCUCCAUAAGAACAGAGCACCCAGCUUCUCAGAGGGAAUAAACAGUCUUCAUUGAUUCAACAGAAGUAACUGCUCCAGACUUUGAACAUCUUCAGUGAAAGCUUGUGAGAAGAUUGAACCUUUCUCUGGUCAAGUACCAAAACUCCAGGUGAAUUGGUGGAAUGCUUAGAACAUGACUAUUCUGACCGGAGUCACUAUUUCAAGCUAUAUUGUGUGUGUGCUUAGUUGCUCAGUCCUGUUCAACUCUUUGCUACCCCCUGGACUGGAGACCGCCAGGCUCCUCUGCUCAUGGGAUUUUCCAGGUAAGAAUACUGAAGAGGGUAGCCAUUCCCUUCUCCAGGCAAUCUUCCUGAGGCAGGGAUUGAACCCAUAUCUCCUGCAUUGCAGGCAUAUUCUUUAUUGUCUGAGCCGCCCACGUCUAAAUUGUUCCUAAGC